UACGGAGGGAGCAAGCGUUACUCGGAAUUAUUGGGCGUAAAGGGCGCGUAGGCGAUUUGAAAAGUCUUGUGUGAAAGCCCCGAGCUUAACUCGGGAAGUGCACAAGAAACUGUUGAAUUUGAGUUCCGGAGAGGAAGGCAGAAUUCCCGGUGUAGCGGUGAAAUGCGUAGAUAUCGGGAGGAAUACCAGUGGCGAAGGCGGCCUUCUGGACGGAUACUGACGCUGAGGCGCGAAAGCCAGGGGAGCAAACGGG
This 253-nucleotide ribosomal RNA is filed under the name uncultured bacterium. RNAcentral describes it as "partial 16S ribosomal RNA". It matches the Rfam family "Bacterial small subunit ribosomal RNA", at positions 524 to 776 of the family's 1533-position model. RNAcentral also lists the same sequence under 1 other name. The record is from RNAcentral.